UUUCCCUUUCCCGCUGCUCACGAAAUCCCAGCCCUAAUAUCAGAGCAUGGAAAUUGAACAGCAAACAACCCAAUAAAGGAGUAGGCGACGACGACGGCGACGGCUGCGUUCCAGACGGUGGAUUUCGGCGGCUGCGUUCCAAACGGUGGUAAGUUUAUCAUCAAUCUCUAAUUGUUGAAAUCCUAAGUCUCCGCCGCACUCCAUCCGCCUUAAUCUCCGACGCCACUCCGAAAACGGGUAUAAUUGUUAAUUGCAGAAUGAGAGGGGCUGGAGAGGCUGCAAGAACUGCUGGAGUGGGAGCUUAUUCAAAUAGAUUAGGAGAACCUCCUAGCCAGGUUGAAGUUGGAGAUGUGGUCAGAGGUGACUGAGACAUUAGGGUCUUCAUAUGGGACAACGGGGGUGGCGUGCUUAUGGCUAUAAUGGCGGUGACCGGAGGUUUGAUUCCAGUGUAAAGGAGUAGGCGACGGCGACGAUAUAUCCUCAAGUCGGCGGCUGCGUUCCAGACGGUGGAUUACGACAGCUGAGUUCUAGACGGUGGUGAAACACAUACAAAUAUAACUAUG
Molecule: long non-coding RNA, 563 nt
Filed under: Helianthus annuus (common sunflower)
Lineage: Eukaryota; Viridiplantae; Streptophyta; Magnoliopsida; Asterales; Asteraceae
Source: RNAcentral